AGAGAGUUUAGAAUUAGUUAUGCUAUAUUAUCUAAGCCACCGUUUGGUUGGGGGUUAAGGGGUGGAAUAACCCCUUAACCCCCAAUUUAUACCCAAACACUACUCUUUUGGGGUGGGGUUAGUAAACCCCACCCCAAACCGGGUUAGUGGGGUUUACUAACCUCACUCCUCCUCCCAACUUUAACCCCGCACGCAUUCCGAGCCCUCACCUAUUUCUUAUUUAUCAAUCAUUAACCCCACUCCCCCUUCCAACUUUAACCACGCACGCAUCCCGAGCUCUUACAUUUUUCUUCUUUAUCAAUCAUUAUUUUCUUAUCCCACCUACUCCAACCAAACACUUUUUUUCACUAUCCUAGACUAACUUCAACCUCCAACCAAACACAAAAAAAUUUUAACACCAUUUUAACCCUGAACUUAACCCUAUCCCUGAAAUAGCUACUUUUUCUUAACCCCGAACCAAACGGGGGCUAAAAGAUUGAUUUAGUAUGAAUCAGUAUAAACACUAGUAAGUUGAAUGAUGGAAUUGAAAAUAUAAGAUGAAAUAUAUGACAUCUUUUCCUAGUGAUGCUUUGAUUCUGUUAGAUAAGUUUAGGUAAAAAUGUGUAAAAUUUACUUCAAC
This 619-nucleotide long non-coding RNA is filed under the name Ananas comosus (pineapple). RNAcentral describes it as "long non-coding RNA (ACOM_LNC009587)". Lineage: Eukaryota; Viridiplantae; Streptophyta; Magnoliopsida; Poales; Bromeliaceae. The record is from RNAcentral.